RNAcentral lists this ribosomal RNA (700 nucleotides) under Pseudoalteromonas sp. Rep_5_72. RNAcentral's name for it is "bacterial SSU rRNA". It matches the Rfam family "Bacterial small subunit ribosomal RNA", at positions 68 to 766 of the family's 1533-position model. The record is from RNAcentral. Lineage: Bacteria; Pseudomonadati; Pseudomonadota; Gammaproteobacteria; Alteromonadales; Pseudoalteromonadaceae.
AACAGAAAGUAGCUUGCUACUUUGCUGACGAGCGGCGGACGGGUGAGUAAUGCUUGGGAACAUGCCUUGAGGUGGGGGACAACAGUUGGAAACGACUGCUAAUACCGCAUAAUGUCUACGGACCAAAGGGGGCUUCGGCUCUCGCCUUUAGAUUGGCCCAAGUGGGAUUAGCUAGUUGGUGAGGUAAUGGCUCACCAAGGCGACGAUCCCUAGCUGGUUUGAGAGGAUGAUCAGCCACACUGGGACUGAGACACGGCCCAGACUCCUACGGGAGGCAGCAGUGGGGAAUAUUGCACAAUGGGCGCAAGCCUGAUGCAGCCAUGCCGCGUGUGUGAAGAAGGCCUUCGGGUUGUAAAGCACUUUCAGUCAGGAGGAAAGGUUAGUAGUUAAUACCUGCUAGCUGUGACGUUACUGACAGAAGAAGCACCGGCUAACUCCGUGCCAGCAGCCGCGGUAAUACGGAGGGUGCGAGCGUUAAUCGGAAUUACUGGGCGUAAAGCGUACGCAGGCGGUUUGUUAAGCGAGAUGUGAAAGCCCCGGGCUCAACCUGGGAACUGCAUUUCGAACUGGCAAACUAGAGUGUGAUAGAGGGUGGUAGAAUUUCAGGUGUAGCGGUGAAAUGCGUAGAGAUCUGAAGGAAUACCGAUGGCGAAGGCAGCCACCUGGGUCAACACUGACGCUCAUGUACGAAAGCGUGGGG